This is a long non-coding RNA of Odocoileus virginianus texanus, 499 nucleotides long. RefSeq lists it as uncharacterized. NCBI's taxonomy places the organism in Eukaryota, Metazoa, Chordata, Mammalia, Artiodactyla, Cervidae. The record is from RefSeq and is a predicted model, not a curated record.
AUGAAGAUCUUUUUCUUUGCCUUUAUUAUGGCUCUCAUUGUUGCCAUGAUUAAAGCUGAUUCAUCUGAAGAGGAACGUUACCGGUUUAGAUAUAACCCUACAAGUUAUUAUCCAAACCAGCAAGGUGGAUAUAUUCCUAAUUAUCCAUAUCCAUAUCGAUUUCCAAAUCCAUAUCCAUAUCCAGUCGCGUUUUAGCUGCUCGGUAAUCACAGGACAUGAACACAAAGGCUUGGUGAGAAGAUGUAUUUGCUUUGUAUUCAGGAAGGUUCUUCCUGCCCUCCUGCUGUGUCCACAUUCUGACUUUCAAAGAAGGAAAAGAAAAAAGAAGAUGCAAUCAAGUAGUGUUACAUGCAAAACACACUCCUGAGAUCAUAUCAAUAUUUCUAAAUAGUAGUAGUGAUAUUCUCUGAACUGCAUUCUACCUACUUCUCUAUGUUAAAGUAUUUCAAAAAUUUAAAAAAAAAUUUACCAUAGCAAUAAAUUGAUCUCUCAAGCAAAU